AUGGAUACUAGUACUAGCAACACCAUUCCCAAGGUUACUACUGGUUCUAGAGGUACUAAAUCUGUGCAACAAUGUUGCACCCCUGUCCCUGAGAACAAUAUUGAAGAUAUUGUCUUCUCCAAAGUUCAAGGGGGGCCCAUGACCAAAAGCUAUCUGGAGGUUGUCAAAAAGAAGCCAAUUGAUAACUUGGGAGGUGCCCUACUGGAGAAAUUUGAGGCUGCUAUCACACAAGAUCACUCUCUUCCUCAGAACAUAGCUGAUAAAAACAAACAGUGGGGCCAUGUGGUUGCUACUAGGGCCAGCACUAGAAACAGGAAGGAUGAGAGGCCUACUCUGCAAAAGGCCCAGGAACUAAAAUGGAUCGAGGUGCCAAACAAAGGUGAGCUGAAUGAUAUCUGGAAAAAAGAAGAGAUAAAAGCUAGACAGAGGUCCAGGGAGAGGGAGAUCCUGGAAGGUGAUCUCAACACUGGAUACUUUAAAGCUAUGGCAAGCCAAAAAAGGAGGAAGAAAUAG
This 513-nucleotide ribosomal RNA is filed under the name Triticum aestivum (bread wheat). RNAcentral describes it as "partial small subunit ribosomal RNA". Lineage: Eukaryota; Viridiplantae; Streptophyta; Magnoliopsida; Poales; Poaceae. The record is from RNAcentral.